UGCAGCUGCAGUGUUUGAGCUAUGUUGACGGUGCUGCUAGCCUGCUAGCCAGCUAGCCAGCAGUGAGAAUGCAAACAUUGUGAGGAACAGACUUCUAACUCACUUCUUGGAACAUGUUCUCAGCACAGUACAGGACGGGAAGAGGAAGGAUGUGAGGUCCACCCGGUGAAGGAUGUGAGGUCCACCUGGUGAAGGACAGGAUGCCAGAGAUGACUGACAGCGACUCAAGUGGACGCAGACCAAAGAAGAAGAAGAACAAAGAGUCCACAAUGCAGG
Long non-coding RNA from Nerophis ophidion (straightnose pipefish), 276 nucleotides. RefSeq lists it as uncharacterized. Lineage: Eukaryota; Metazoa; Chordata; Actinopteri; Syngnathiformes; Syngnathidae. The record is from RefSeq and is a predicted model, not a curated record. The transcript has 3 exons.